This 886-nucleotide ribosomal RNA is filed under the name uncultured bacterium. Its description in RNAcentral is "bacterial SSU rRNA". It matches the Rfam family "Bacterial small subunit ribosomal RNA", at positions 60 to 985 of the family's 1533-position model. The record is from RNAcentral.
AGUCGUACGAGAGUUUUUAACUCAAGUGGCGGACGGGUGAGUAACACGUGAGAAUUUGCCUUUAGGAGGGGGAUAACAGAGUGAAAACGCUGCUAAUACCCCAUAUGCUUUCGAGUGAAAUGGAUUUAUUCGCCUAAAGAGAAGCUCGCGGCUGAUUAGCUUGUUGGUAAGGUAAUGGCUUACCAAGGCGACGAUCAGUAUCUGGUUUGAGAGGACGAUCAGACACACUGGAACUGAGACACGGUCCAGACUCCUACGGGAGGCAGCAGUGGGGAAUUUUCCGCAAUGGGCGAAAGCCUGACGGAGCAAUACCGCGUGAGGGAUGACUGCCUAUGGGUUGUAAACCUCUUUUCUCAGGGAGGAAAUCAAUGACGUUACCUGAGGAAUAAGCAUCGGCUAACUCCGUGCCAGCAGCCGCGGUAAGACGGAGGAUGCAAGUGUUAUCCGGAAUCACUGGGCGUAAAGCGUCUGUAGGUGGCUUAACAAGUCAACUGUUAAAUCUUGAAGCUCAACUUCGAAAUCGCAGUCGAAACUGUUAGGCUAGAGUAUAGUAGGGGUAAAGGGAAUUUCCAGUGGAGCGGUGAAAUGCGUAGAGAUUGGAAAGAACACCGAUGGCGAAGGCACUUUACUGGGCUAUUACUGACACUCAGAGACGAAAGCUAGGGUAGCAAAUGGGAUUAGAUACCCCAGUAGUCCUAGCCGUAAACAAUGGAUACUAGAUGUUGGGCAGAUCGACCUGUUCAGUAUCAAAGCUAACGCGUUAAGUAUCCCGCCUGGGAAGUAUGCGCGCAAGCGUGAAACUCAAAGGAAUUGACGGGGGCCCGCACAAGCGGUGGAGCAUGUGGUUUAAUUCGAUGCAACGCGAANAACCUUACCAGGGUUUGAC